CUAACCUCAGGGACAAGGCCCCGCUUCCUACACUCAGAAUUGACCCUAAGGCUAGACUCAUAAUAUCAGACCUCACCCUGUUUUCUGCACGCACACAACUUCUCCUUCUAUCCUUUUAGCAAGCUUUCCAGGCAGAGUGCCACAGAGAUCCCGCUGCCCAUGUUGCCUCUGGCCGACACUGAGAAGUUGAUUCGCGAGAAGGACGAAGAGCUGCGCCGCAUGCAAGAAAUGCUGGAGAAGAUGCAAGCCCAGAUGCAGCAGAGCCAGGCUCAGGGCGAGCAAUCAGAUGUGCUGUGAGAUGCUCACCGCCGCCUAUCCUAGCGUCUGCUUACCGCUAAUCUGUCUCAUCCCGGCUCUAGACUGCCCAGCGCCCAAUCCGAAGACCCAGAGGGUAGGCCGGCCCUUGCACUUUAAUCAGGUGCCUCCAAUCCGGAAGUUUAAGGCCCAGCCGACUCCGCCUUCUAUACUGUUCUGAGAGGACUGCCCUCCAAACGCUUAACGGCAGGUUCCACUUGGGUUUUAGCGUUCCUCCAAGUUCUCCAUCUAAUAAAACUGCUCCCUGCCUCCCCC
RNAcentral lists this long non-coding RNA (570 nucleotides) under Rattus norvegicus (Norway rat). Its description in RNAcentral is "long non-coding RNA NONRATT003204". The record is from RNAcentral. Lineage: Eukaryota; Metazoa; Chordata; Mammalia; Rodentia; Muridae.